Molecule: ribosomal RNA, 376 nt
Filed under: uncultured bacterium
Lineage: Bacteria
Description: bacterial SSU rRNA
Rfam family: Bacterial small subunit ribosomal RNA
Source: RNAcentral
GACGAACGCUGGCGGCGUGCUUAACACAUGCAAGUCGAGCGGUAAGGCCCUUUCGGGGGUACACGAGCGGCGAACGGGUGAGUAACACGUGGGUGACCUGCCCUCAGCUCUGGGAUAAGCCUGGGAAACCGGGUCUAAUACCGGAUAUGACUCCAUGACGCAUGUUGUGGGGUGGAAAGCCUUGUGCGGCUGAGGAUGGGCCCGCGGCCUAUCAGCUUGUUGGUGGGGUGANGGCCUACCAAGGCGACGACGGGUAGCCGGCCUGAGAGGGCGACCGGCCACACUGGGACUGAGACACGGCCCAGACUCCGUACGGGAGGCAGCAGGUGGGGAAUCUUGCGCAAUGGGACGAAAGCCUGACGCAGCGACGCCGCGU